AUGAAUAGUCACUCGAUCAUGGCGGUGUCGUCGGUGUUCGCCGCCUUCGACAAGGACGGCGACGGCAAGGUCUCCGCGUCCGAACUGCGGCGCUGCAUGGAGGCCACGCUGGGCGAGAGCGUGUCCGAGGAGGAAGCGGCGGCGGUCCUUGCGGCGAUUGAUGCCGACGGCGACGGGCUGCUAAACCAAGAAGAGUUCUCGAGGCUGGCCGCCGGCGCCCAUGAAGAGGAGGACGAUGCCGACGUGAAGAGAAGGUGCCUGAGGGAGGCGUUCGGGAUGUACGCGGAAGACACGACGACAACGGUGAUUACGCCGGCGAGCCUGAGGCGAACACUGAGCAGGCUGGGGUCGCACGAGCUGGGCGUGGAGGAGUGCCGGGCAAUGAUCUGCAGAUUCGACCUUGACGGCGACGGCAAACUCUCGUUCGACGAGUUCCGGGUCAUGAUGAUGGCCUGA
This 456-nucleotide ribosomal RNA is filed under the name Triticum aestivum (bread wheat). RNAcentral describes it as "partial small subunit ribosomal RNA". Lineage: Eukaryota; Viridiplantae; Streptophyta; Magnoliopsida; Poales; Poaceae. The record is from RNAcentral.